UUUUAAUUUAUAUUUUUAUUCAUUUAUUUAAUCCCUGAACACCGAUAGGCUGUAUCAAGUGUCAAUCAUAGAAAACAUGAACCCCCUAAUAACUUUUAAAAAUGGAGCUGUACAGAAAAAAGAGGACUUGAGCACAAACCAGUCUGACAGUAACUACAUGUCAACAUCACAACCAGGGGGGAGAAACAUUUAUAUUCUGUGUCAUUAAUUUAUAAAGUUUGUCCACAGAUCCAUAAGGAGGCGGGGUUUAGGACCU
This is a non-coding RNA of Xyrichtys novacula (pearly razorfish), 256 nucleotides long. NCBI's taxonomy places the organism in Eukaryota, Metazoa, Chordata, Actinopteri, Labriformes, Labridae. The record is from the annotation of a GenBank genome assembly.